CCGGGUGGCUGGGCGACCGCUGGCCCUGGAGUGAUCCAAGGCUGGAGGAAAGUCCGGGCUCCACGGGAAUACGGUGCCGGUCAACGACCGGCGGGGGUCAAACCCCAGGGACAGUGCCACAGAAAGCAAACCGCCUCGGCGUGGAAGCACCCCGAGGCAAGGGUGAAAGGGUGGGGUAAGAGCCCACCGCAUCCACGGCAACGUGGGUGGCAUGGUAAACCCCACCGGGAGCAAGGCCGAAUAGGGGUGGCCGGCAGUGCGGCGCGGGGUUCGCCCCGUGGCGCGGAUGCAGGGGCGUUCCCGCCCCGCCGCCCGGGUUGGCCGCGAGAAGCCUGUGGCGACACAGGCUCCAGAGGAAUGGUCGUCCAUCGCUUUCGGGCGGGGACAGAACCCGGCUUACAGGCCGCCCGGCACC
RNAcentral lists this RNase P RNA (415 nucleotides) under Falsiroseomonas algicola. RNAcentral describes it as "RNase P RNA component class A". It matches the Rfam family "Bacterial RNase P class A". From Rfam's summary of the family: Ribonuclease P (RNase P) is a ubiquitous endoribonuclease, found in archaea, bacteria and eukarya as well as chloroplasts and mitochondria. Its best characterised activity is the generation of mature 5'-ends of tRNAs by cleaving the 5'-leader elements of precursor-tRNAs. Cellular RNase Ps are ribonucleoproteins. The record is from RNAcentral. Lineage: Bacteria; Pseudomonadati; Pseudomonadota; Alphaproteobacteria; Acetobacterales; Roseomonadaceae.